UUUUUUUUUUUUUUUUUUGAGAUGGAGUCUCGCUCUGUCCCGCUGCCUGGAGUGCAGUGGCGCGAUCUCGGCUCACUGCAAGCUCCGCCUCCCAGGUUCGCGCCAUUCUCCUGCCUCAGCCUCCCGAGUAGCUGGGACUAUAGGCGCCCUCUACCGCGCCCAGCUAAUGUUUUUUUGUUUUUGUAUUUUUAGUAGAGACGGGGUUUCACCGUGUUAGCCAGGAUGGUCUCGAUCUCCUGACCUCGUGAUCCGCCCGCCUCGGCCUCCCAAAGUGCUGGGAUUACAGGAGUGAGCCACCGCGCCCGGCCACGUAGUUUGACUUCUAAGAGCACUACAGCUCUGCUGAAGAUGUGGUUUGUCAGCUGACUGAUUAUUCUCUGCUGUUCUGGAUAGUCUUCUAUGUACAAAACUAGAGAUGAGUGGACUUUUCGUGUGCUGUGUGGUGGAUGUGACUCAGGUCAUAGCCACUGCUCUGAAAAGUGAUGGAGUCAGGGAGCCAUCAUCCAGCCUCACCUCCUGGGUUGUCAACCUACAUUUUUGGAGCCAGCUCAUUCUUUGAGGUUUCUCUAAGUCCCCAUGUGCAACCCUUGUCAGAGUGGGCUCUGCCUUCCAUAGUUAUUCAGGAUCCCCUAGUGGAUGAAAGCCUGGUUAUCAGUCACACCAUCUGGAAUAUGUAAUUACUGUGGAAGAGGAAAAGACACACUACAGUGCAUCUUAAUUGCCUGGAAGCUGAAAGUGACAUAACUCAUUUCUGACCACAUCCCAUUGGCCAAUCCUAAUAGCAUGGCCCCAGCAUAACUGCAAGGGAAGCACAUGUAUUUGGUUAGCCCUCUGUACACAUGGUAAUUCUAAAAUUUAAUGUCCAAAAUUUUCCUUCUAUUCUACGUGAGCAAAUCCCCAAUUAUGUAAAUAAAAAACAAAAACCUCCAAACAAUGGGUCAUCUUUUGUUUCCCACAUUAUUUUGUAACUGAUAUUCAAUUCAUCAGAAAUUCUGUUAGCUUGAUAUAAAGAAUAUCCUGAAUUUGAUCACAUCUCACAACAUCUACUAAUACCAACCUCCUUCCUACUAGCUUUACAUACAUAGAAAAAUUCUUUUUUGUGUUAAAGUAAAUUUAAUUUAAAAUUACUUUUAAAUUAAAUGUUUUUAUGUAACAUGCAUGUCUGC
RNAcentral lists this long non-coding RNA (1166 nucleotides) under Homo sapiens (human). RNAcentral describes it as "HSALNT0205210". The record is from RNAcentral. Lineage: Eukaryota; Metazoa; Chordata; Mammalia; Primates; Hominidae.